RNAcentral lists this ribosomal RNA (679 nucleotides) under uncultured bacterium. RNAcentral's name for it is "bacterial SSU rRNA". It matches the Rfam family "Bacterial small subunit ribosomal RNA", at positions 68 to 744 of the family's 1533-position model. The record is from RNAcentral.
GGGCUUGGGGGCUUGCUCCCGGGUUAGUGGCGAACGGGUGAGUAAUAUAUCGGAACAUAUCCGGAAGUGGGGGAUAACGUAGCGAAAGUUACGCUAAUACCGCAUAUGCCCUGAGGGGGAAAGGGGGGGAUCGCAAGACCUCUCGCUUUCGGAGUGGCCGAUACCGGAUUAGCUAGAUGGUGAGGUAAAGGCUCACCAUGGCGACGAUCCGUAGCGGGUCUGAGAGGACGACCCGCCACACUGGAACUGAGACACGGUCCAGACUCCUACGGGAGGCAGCAGUGGGGAAUUUUGGACAAUGGGCGCAAGCCUGAUCCAGCCAUACCGCGUGAGUGAAGAAGGCCUUCGGGUUGUAAAGCUCUUUCAGCCGGAAAGAAAUUGCUUCUAUUAAUACUAGGGGUAGAUGACAGUACCGGAAGAAGAAGCACCGGCUAACUACGUGCCAGCAGCCGCGGUAAUACGUAGGGUGCGAGCGUUAAUCGGAAUUACUGGGCGUAAAGCGUGCGCAGGCGGUUUGGUAAGACAGAUGUGAAAUCCCCGGGCUUAACCUGGGAACUGCAUUUGUGACUGCCAGACUAGAGUGUAGCAGAGGGGGGUAGAAUUCCACGUGUAGCAGUGAAAUGCGUAGAGAUGUGGAGGAAUACCGAUGGCGAAGGCAGCCCCCUGGGCUAACACUGAC